GGCAUUUAAUUUAAUUUUAGAAUUUCAGGGCGUGCAUUAGUUUUACUUGUUGUGGAGAGAAAAGCAAUUUGACAGUUGUGAGCUGUGGCGAUGUAAUAAAAUUUGUUAAUACUACUAAAACUAUGACACUGUUAAUACUACUAAAACUAUGACACUUAUUUUGGACCGGAGCUCAUAUGAGCUCGGGUGCAAAAACAUCAUGUCCGUAUUAUCAUACAAAAAUAAAAUAAAAUCAGAUAUGCUCCAAG
RNAcentral lists this long non-coding RNA (248 nucleotides) under Hordeum vulgare. RNAcentral's name for it is "long non-coding RNA (HVUL_LNC017141)". Lineage: Eukaryota; Viridiplantae; Streptophyta; Magnoliopsida; Poales; Poaceae. The record is from RNAcentral.